UUAAGCGACUAAGCGUACACGGUGGAUGCCCUGGCAGUCAGAGGCGAUGAAGGACGUGCUAAUCUGCGAUAAGCGUCGGUGAGGUGAUAUGAACCGUUAUAACCGGCGAUUUCCGAAUGGGGAAACCCAGUGUGUUUCGACACACUAUCAUUAACUGAAUCCAUAGGUUAAUGAGGCGAACCGGGGGAACUGAAACAUCUAAGUACCCCGAGGAAAAGAAAUCAACCGAGAUUCCCCCAGUAGCGGCGAGCGAACGGGGAGGAGCCCAGAGCCUGAAUCAGUGUGUGUGUUAGUGGAAGCGUCUGGAAAGGCGUGCGAUACAGGGUGACAGCCCCGUACACAAAAAUGCACAUAUUGUGAGCUCGAUGAGUAGGGCGGGACACGUGGUAUCCUGUCUGAAUAUGGGGGGACCAUCCUCCAAGGCUAAAUACUCCUGACUGACCGAUAGUGAACCAGUACCGUGAGGGAAAGGCGAAAAGAACCCCGGCGAGGGGAGUGAAAAAGAACCUGAAACCGUGUACGUACAAGCAGUGGGAGCCUCUUAAUGGGGUGACUGCGUACCUUUUGUAUAAUGGGUCAGCGACUUAUAUUCUGUAGCAAGGUUAACCGAAUAGGGGAGCCGAAGGGAAACCGAGUCUUAACUGGGCGUUAAGUUGCAGGGUAUAGACCCGAAACCCGGUGAUCUAGCCAUGGGCAGGUUGAAGGUUGGGUAACACUAACUGGAGGACCGAACCGACUAAUGUUGAAAAAUUAGCGGAUGACUUGUGGCUGGGGGUGAAAGGCCAAUCAAACCGGGAGAUAGCUGGUUCUCCCCGAAAGCUAUUUAGGUAGCGCCUCGUGAAUUCAUCUCCGGGGGUAGAGCACUGUUUCGGCAAGGGGGUCAUCCCGACUUACCAACCCGAUGCAAACUGCGAAUACCGGAGAAUGUUAUCACGGGAGACACACGGCGGGUGCUAACGUCCGUCGUGAAGAGGGAAACAACCCAGACCGCCAGCUAAGGUCCCAAAGUCAUGGUUAAGUGGGAAACGAUGUGGGAAGGCCCAGACAGCCAGGAUGUUGGCUUAGAAGCAGCCAUCAUUUAAAGAAAGCGUAAUAGCUCACUGGUCGAGUCGGCCUGCGCGGAAGAUGUAACGGGGCUAAACCAUGCACCGAAGCUGCGGCAGCGACACUAUGUGUUGUUGGGUAGGGGAGCGUUCUGUAAGCCUGUGAAGGUGGCCUGUGAGGGUUGCUGGAGGUAUCAGAAGUGCGAAUGCUGACAUAAGUAACGAUAAAGCGGGUGAAAAGCCCGCUCGCCGGAAGACCAAGGGUUCCUGUCCAACGUUAAUCGGGGCAGGGUGAGUCGACCCCUAAGGCGAGGCCGAAAGGCGUAGUCGAUGGGAAACAGGUUAAUAUUCCUGUACUUGGUGUUACUGCGAAGGGGGGACGGAGAAGGCUAUGUUGGCCGGGCGACGGUUGUCCCGGUUUAAGCGUGUAGGCUGGUUUUCCAGGCAAAUCCGGAAAACCAAGGCUGAGGCGUGAUGACGAGGCACUACGGUGCUGAAGCGACAAAUGCCCUGCUUCCAGGAAAAGCCUCUAAGCAUCAGGUAACAUCAAAUCGUACCCAAAACCGACACAGGUGGUCAGGUAGAGAAUACCAAGGCGCUUGAGAGAACUCGGGUGAAGGAACUAGGCAAAAUGGUGCCGUAACUUCGGGAGAAGGCACGCUGAUAUGUAGGUGAAGCGACUUGCUCGUGGAGCUGAAAUCAGUCGAAGAUACCAGCUGGCUGCAACUGUUUAUUAAAAACACAGCACUGUGCAAACACGAAAGUGGACGUAUACGGUGUGACGCCUGCCCGGUGCCGGAAGGUUAAUUGAUGGGGUUAGCGGUAACGCGAAGCUCUUGAUCGAAGCCCCGGUAAACGGCGGCCGUAACUAUAACGGUCCUAAGGUAGCGAAAUUCCUUGUCGGGUAAGUUCCGACCUGCACGAAUGGCGUAAUGAUGGCUAGGCUGUCUCCACCCGAGACUCAGUGAAAUUGAACUCGCUGUGAAGAUGCAGUGUACCCGCGGCAAGACGGAAAGACCCCGUGAACCUUUACUAUAGCUUGACACUGAACAUUGAGCCUUGAUGUGUAGGAUAGGUGGGAGGCUUUGAAGUGUGGACGCCAGUCUGCAUGGAGCCGACCUUGAAAUACCACCCUUUAAUGUUUGAUGUUCUAACGUUGGCCCGUAAUCCGGGUUGCGGACAGUGUCUGGUGGGUAGUUUGACUGGGGCGGUCUCCUCCUAAAGAGUAACGGAGGAGCACGAAGGUUGGCUAAUCCUGGUCGGACAUCAGGAGGUUAGUGCAAUGGCAUAAGCCAGCUUGACUGCGAGCGUGACGGCGCGAGCAGGUGCGAAAGCAGGUCAUAGUGAUCCGGUGGUUCUGAAUGGAAGGGCCAUCGCUCAACGGAUAAAAGGUACUCCGGGGAUAACAGGCUGAUACCGCCCAAGAGUUCAUAUCGACGGCGGUGUUUGGCACCUCGAUGUCGGCUCAUCACAUCCUGGGGCUGAAGUAGGUCCCAAGGGUAUGGCUGUUCGCCAUUUAAAGUGGUACGCGAGCUGGGUUUAGAACGUCGUGAGACAGUUCGGUCCCUAUCUGCCGUGGGCGCUGGAGAACUGAGGGGGGCUGCUCCUAGUACGAGAGGACCGGAGUGGACGCAUCACUGGUGUUCGGGUUGUCAUGCCAAUGGCACUGCCCGGUAGCUAAAUGCGGAAGAGAUAAGUGCUGAAAGCAUCUAAGCACGAAACUUGCCCCGAGAUGAGUUCUCCCUGACUCCUUGAGGGUCCUGAAGGAACGUUGAAGACGACGACGUUGAUAGGCCGGGUGUGUAAGCGCAGCGAUGCGUUGAGCUAACCGGUACUAAUGAACCGUGAGGCUUAACCUU
RNAcentral lists this ribosomal RNA (2902 nucleotides) under Escherichia coli UMEA 3172-1. RNAcentral describes it as "bacterial LSU rRNA". It matches the Rfam family "Bacterial large subunit ribosomal RNA". Lineage: Bacteria; Pseudomonadati; Pseudomonadota; Gammaproteobacteria; Enterobacterales; Enterobacteriaceae. The record is from RNAcentral.